UGAGCAAGAGUGAGACCCUGUCUCUACUAAAAAUAAAGAGAAAUUAGCUGGACAAUUAAAAAUAUAUAGAAAGGUCUGUAAUCUUGGUGGGCAAUACAGAGUUAUGUGUGUUCACUCUAAGGGCAGACCAACAAGAACUUUUUCCUACUUUUUAGCCACCUCUUUUUAAUAGGAGUGAUUCUUCCAGUUGCCAGGGAGAAAUUGUGGUAACUGGAGUGAGAAAGUGGGAACAGGGCAUGUUAAAAGAAAAAAAAGAUUUUAUAUAUGUGUGUGUGUGUGUGUGUGUGUGUGUGUGUGUGUGUGUGUGUGUGUAUAAAAUUUAG
This 323-nucleotide small nucleolar RNA is filed under the name Microcebus murinus (gray mouse lemur). The record is from RNAcentral. Lineage: Eukaryota; Metazoa; Chordata; Mammalia; Primates; Cheirogaleidae.